UCAGCUCCGAUUCCUGAAAUUCGAGAAAAAACGGGUCAAAAACAGUCAAAAACAGUCAAAAAGAGUCAAAAACACCCUUCUGCCUCCCCUCAUUAACCAAAAAUGAUUAAAAUCACCCAAACUCACCCUAAUUAGCUGGAAUUUGGCCAAAUUCCCUUUGGGGUCUUCUCCACCUCUUCCAAAUCUCUUGGUUGACCCUCAAAAAUUAGUUGAUGACGCGUUAAUGAAGCCAAAUCAGGAAAAAUUAGCUCAUUUUUGCCUAAAAAUCCUCCCCUUAAAAAAGGUGGGGAAUGGUUAAAAAGGGUAGAGAAAUGGUUAAAAAAGGUGGGAAAUGGUUAAAAAGAGGUGGAAAUGGUUAAA
This 360-nucleotide long non-coding RNA is filed under the name Anas platyrhynchos platyrhynchos (common mallard). Its description in RNAcentral is "lncRNA (ENSAPLG00000018177.1)". Lineage: Eukaryota; Metazoa; Chordata; Aves; Anseriformes; Anatidae. The record is from RNAcentral.